This 569-nucleotide ribosomal RNA is filed under the name uncultured bacterium. RNAcentral's name for it is "partial 16S ribosomal RNA". It matches the Rfam family "Bacterial small subunit ribosomal RNA", at positions 355 to 1375 of the family's 1533-position model. The record is from RNAcentral.
UGGGGAAUAUUGCACAAUGGGCGAAAGCCUGAUGCAGCGACGCCGCGUGAGGGAUGACGGCCUUCGGGUUGUAAACCUCUUUCAGCAGGGAAGAAGCGAAAGUGACGGUACCUGCAGAAGAAGCGCCGGCUAACUACGUGCCAGCAGCCGCGGUAAUACGUAGGGCGCAAGCGUUGUCCGGAAUUAUUGGGCGUAAAGAGCUCGUAGGCGGUUAGUCGCGUCUGCUGUGAAAACUCGAGGCUCAACCUCGGGCUUGCAGUGGGUACGGGCUGACUAGAGUGCGGUAGGGGUGACUGGAAUUCCUGGUGUAGCGGUGGAAUGCGCAGAUAUCAGGAGGAACACCGAUGGCGAAGGCAGGUCACUGGGCCGCAACUGACGCUGAGGAGCGAAAGCAUGGGGAGCGAACAGGAUUAGAUAGCCCUGGUAGUCCAUGCCGUAAACGUUGGGCACUAGGUGUGGGUCCAUUCCACGGAUUCCGUGCCGCAGCAAAGCGCAUUAAGUGCCCCGCCUGGGGAGUACGGCCGCAAGGCUAAAACUUAAAGGAAUUGACGGGGUCAUAGCUGUUUCCU